CAGUAGCCGCGGUAAUACGAGGGGGGCAAGCGUUGUUCGGAAUUAUUGGGCGUAAAGGGCGCGUAGGCGGUUUGACAAGUCUUAUGUGAAAUCUUCGGGCUCAACUCGAAGUCUGCAUGGGAAACUGUCGGGCUUGAGUAUGGGAGAGGUGAGUGGAAUUUCCGGUGUAGCGGUGAAAUGCGUAGAUAUCGGAAGGAACACCUGUGGCGAAAGCGGCUCACUGGACCAUUUCUGACGCUGAUGCACGAAAGCUAGGGGAGCAAACAGGAUUAGAUACCCCGGUAGUCCCUGUCUCUUAUAC
RNAcentral lists this ribosomal RNA (301 nucleotides) under uncultured bacterium. Its description in RNAcentral is "partial 16S ribosomal RNA". It matches the Rfam family "Bacterial small subunit ribosomal RNA", at positions 509 to 807 of the family's 1533-position model. The record is from RNAcentral.